GACGAACGCUGGCGGCGUGCUUAACACAUGCAAGUCGAACGGAAAGGCCCUGCUUUUGUGGGGUGCUCGAGUGGCGAACGGGUGAAACACGUGAGUAACCUGCCCUUGACUUUGGGAUAACUUCAGGAAACUGGGGCUAAUACCGGAUAGGAGCUCCUGCUGCAUGGUGGGGGUUGGAAAGUUUCGGCGGUUGGGGAUGGACUCGCGGCUUAUCAGCUUGUUGGUGGGGUAGUGGCUUACCAAGGCUUUGACGGGUAGCCGGCCUGAGAGGGUGACCGGCCACAUUGGGACUGAGAUACGGCCCAGACUCCUACGGGAGGCAGCAGUGGGGAAUAUUGCACAAUGGGCGGAAGCCUGAUGCAGCAACGCCGCGUGCGGGAUGACGGCCUUCGGGUUGUAAACCGCUUUCGCCUGUGACGAAGCGUGAGUGACGGUAAUGGGUAAAGAAGCACCGGCUAACUACGUG
RNAcentral lists this ribosomal RNA (466 nucleotides) under uncultured bacterium. RNAcentral's name for it is "partial 16S ribosomal RNA". It matches the Rfam family "Bacterial small subunit ribosomal RNA", at positions 28 to 507 of the family's 1533-position model. The record is from RNAcentral.